GUCGUGGGGGAUAACUAUCCAAAAGGAUUGCUAAUACCGCAUACGUCCUGAGGGAGAAAGCGGGGGAUCGCAAGACCUCGCGCGAUUGGAGCGGCCGAUAUCGGAUUAGCUAGUUGGUGGGGUAAAGGCUCACCAAGGCGACGAUCCGUAGCGGGUCUGAGAGGACGACCCGCCACACUGGAACUGAGACACGGUCCAGACUCCUACGGGAGGCAGCAGUGGGGAAUUUUGGACAAUGGGGGCAACCCUGAUCCAGCCAUUCCGCGUGAGUGAAGAAGGCCUUCGGGUUGUAAAGCUCUUUCAGCAGGAACGAAACGGUCGGCUUUAAUAAAGUCGGCUAAUGACGGUACCUGCAGAAGAAGCACCGGCUAACUACGUGCCAGCAGCCGCGGUAAUACGUAGGGUGCGAGCGUUAAUCGGAAUUACUGGGCGUAAAGCGUGCGCAGGCGGCGACAUAAGACAGAUGUGAAAUCCCCGGGCUCAACCUGGGAACUGCGUUUGUGACUGUGUUGCUAGAGUGUAGCAGAGGGGGGUGGAAUUCCACGUGUAGCAGUGAAAUGCGUAGAGAUGUGGAGGAACACCGAUGGCGAAGGCAGCCCCCUGGGUUAACACUGACGCUCAUGCACGAAAGCGUGGGGAGCAAACAGGAUUAGAUACCCUG
Molecule: ribosomal RNA, 661 nt
Filed under: uncultured Rhodocyclales bacterium
Lineage: Bacteria; Pseudomonadati; Pseudomonadota; Betaproteobacteria; Rhodocyclales
Description: bacterial SSU rRNA
Rfam family: Bacterial small subunit ribosomal RNA
Source: RNAcentral